UUUAUAAUUGACAAUUCUGUAAGAAAAAUGGAAGCAAUUAGAGUUGGUGUUUACAACUUUCAUCCCUUUUUGUAUGUAGAUGAAUCAAAUAAUGUAGCGGGCAUUUUAGCGCCUCUCAUUUACAAUCUCUACUACUUCAUCAUUAAUAAAGUGAAUACAACUUUUGUGCUAAGUCCGAUAAACUCAGUUGAUUUCUGUGCAGAUAAUGGAGUUUGCACGGGCUCAUUGAUUUUGAUGCAGAAAAAUGAAGUAGACUUUAGCCAUAAAGUUGGUCUCAGUGGUUUAAAUCAUGUCGGAAUCAAUUUGACUUUAACACCAAUAAUUAUGGAAGAAAACUGUUACCUUUCUUAUAACAGCAAAUUACAAGUGAGUUUGACGAGUUCAUCAUUUUUCGACUUUUUCUCAUCAUUUCAGUGGACAUUUUGGAUUCUCACAGUUUGCUCAUUUUUCGUCUUCAUCAUGGUAAACAAUGUUUCCCUCAAAUUUAAACGCUCCGUCUCUUUGGUCCAAAUCUUUUGGUCACAUUUUGAUUACGUUUUGGGCCAAAAUUACAUUACAAAUUGUGCUAUCCAAAAAGAAUCUUUUUUCAUGGUAUUCAUUAUUUUCCAAUUGCUUGUGAAUAAAUUAUUAAUGGCUUCCCUACGAACUGGUUUGGUGCAGCAUUCGGAAUAUCUUAAAUUGGAAUCAUUCCAUGAUAUUUUAAAGUACAACUUCACAGUGAGAAUCGCCUAUCCAACAGUAUGCAACCGUGAAUUCCAGAAAUCACUCGAUCCUGUUGUUCGCAAAGUUAGAAUAGAGCACAACGUCUAUCAAGGAAUACCAACACAUGAGCAAAUAUACCAGGCAUUGAGAAAAGAUGGAACCGUUACUUGCAUCAAUGAUGUCAAUUUUCACGCGGCCAAAAAUUUUGCCUGUUUUCUUUAUCAAGCAGCAGAAGAGCGUGAACCAUUGCGAAAAUCAGAGCGAACAGUGUUUAGAUGUAGCUUUGGAUUCAACUUGAAUAAACUGGCUUCAGCGAAAAAGCUAAAAAUCAUAAAGACUGGUCUUUAUUCCGCUUUUGAAACUGGAUGCAUCUCAUCUAGAAUUAUAAACAAAAUAACCAAAAGAUGUUUCCUUAAAUCUGAUGCAGCUCCGUCUUGUAUCAAUCAUAAAUAUGAUUCCACCGAGAUCAAAUUUAUACCCAUAUCGAUGGCUUACCUGAAAAUUCCGUUUGUUAUUUUCUUCUUCGGGCUGAUCAUAAGUGUUUCAACGUUCAUUAUAUUACAAUGUAAAUUUUACAUUCACCAGUUUCUUUAUCGCAGAUCUCUUUCAACUUGCAUCGCAACGACUUUCAAUAUUAACUUUGCUGAAGAGUUGUUUUAACUAAAGAAAUUUUGUUUUCGAUACGCUUUAAUCGUUGUCACACUAAUUAAAUUAGUCUAUUUUAAUUGUACAAUUAUUGUAAUGGGAUAAUCACUAAAACAAGAAAAACAUGUCAAUUAAUGCUUUUACUGCUAUCUAUUGUUUUAUAAAUUCACUAUAUUUCAAUUCAUAGAUUUUAAUUUGUGUAGGUGGCGCAAUUUUGUAGAGGAAUAGCUUUGGUUUACGGUUUUCUCUUUCAUUCUAUUCAAAAGUUGUAAAAGUGACUCAAAGCUACUAUUCGAAGUGCAAUCAUGGAUGAUGAUGAAGAUUGUUCCAGACCGUCGGAUGAAGUGUACAAACUUUUAUACGACGAGGAAGAUUCAGACAUUGAUGAUGGUAAUUUCAAAAGAACGAGACACACUUCAUCUAAUGAUGGUGAUCGUGAUGCCCCGAAUGAACGACUCAAAGUUAAUGUGACUGCUGCUGGUAAAAGUGAUUUAUCAAUCACUAGAACCAUAAGAUUUGAUGACGCAUUGUUGAAAAGAACCAUUACUAAGCCAGUUAAGGCUGUCAACUCUUCUGGUUCUCCUGGUUUUACUUCUCCAGUUAAACCAGCAACAUCUUCGACUGAUUCUGAAAGCGUCUUUCAGCGACUUUCUUUUCCUGAAAAAAAUGCAAUACCUCAGCAAACAGUUUCAUUGUCAACAAAUAUUCAACGUCCAACCAUUCCAAAAUCAUCAUCUACUAUUUCUCUGAGUGAAAAGACCUCUUCACCUUCAGUUAAGCGAAUACUUGAUGUUCAACGACCAUCUAACAGUAUUAAAUUGCGGCCCAGUUCUGAUGCAAUCAAUGCACCCAUUUCACGAUCCAAUCUAGAUCUUCAACUACCUCAAGUAAUUGUACCGCCUAAAUCGAAGCCAAUUUUUUCCGAAAAAAAUGUCGACUUGGACACCUUUCUCAGGCAAUUGAAAUCAGAGCUAAUAGCUCAUCGCUCCUUGGACCGUCUUUACAACCGCUCUUUAUUUGAGUUGAGUGCAAUGAAGAAAAAUCCUGAUUUUCAACAAAUUCUCAAAUCUGUGGUCGAAGGAGUACUGUUUGAUCCUGAAUGUCAACCAAAUUCUGAUUCAGUGCAUAAGAUCCUAAAACUUUUACAAAAUUUUGAUCUGGAUAAUACAAAUACAUGGACAUUUCUAAUAGACCGCUCUUAUACGCUCAUCACUGAAAAUACAGACGCUCAUUACAAAAGACUCUCAUGUUUCAUUGAAAUGACUUUCAACCACCUUUUUCUGACAAAACUUAAACUAUUGCCCUGCACUGCUUUGAAUUUGUUCAAAAUGGCCCAAGUUUCUCCAUUUAAUCCAGCCGUCAAGCCACGUCCAAGAGCCCCUGUAUCCAAUCUAAAGAGUAAUCUUGUUAGUGCUCUACAAGAAAACCAAUAAGUUGGCCAUCAUAAGUUUUAUUUUCCAACCACUUAAUCAAAUGUUAAAUAUUUAUAUUUGAUAAAAAUGUGCAAGCACUUUUAAAUAUCAAAUUGACGCGAUACUCAGCUUUAUCAACAUUGUUGCUAAAAUUCAUUGUAACCGACAUCAAAGGUUAAGUAUGUAGCUAUUAAUAACUUACAUGUUAACCUUUGCAAAAAAAAUGUUUAUUAAAAUUUAGUUUGUUUCUCGA
Tetranychus urticae (two-spotted spider mite) is the source of this 3012-nucleotide non-coding RNA. The record is from RefSeq and is a predicted model, not a curated record. Lineage: Eukaryota; Metazoa; Arthropoda; Arachnida; Trombidiformes; Tetranychidae.